Oncorhynchus mykiss (rainbow trout) is the source of this 1018-nucleotide long non-coding RNA. RefSeq lists it as uncharacterized. The record is from RefSeq and is a predicted model, not a curated record. Lineage: Eukaryota; Metazoa; Chordata; Actinopteri; Salmoniformes; Salmonidae.
AAUCAUCGAUGUUGAACCAAGAUGGACCAGCCAAAACAGUGGAUCAGCUGUAGAGCUGCCUCUAUAACCAUGUUUGCUACUGUCCGCAUGGCUAGCUCAAGGUUACCCGUGGCAGCACUUACAUUAAAACAGUUUUUAGAGACAGAACGUGUUGGGCCUGUACAGAAACAUGAUGCGGACCAUAAGGCAAGUGCCAGACGAAGGAGACCGAAAAGACUUAAGAUAUUGGGCGAGUGAUGAGUUCAAGAUAAAUAAAAAUGCCACAAAUCAGGACGCCAUCUGAAUGAUGAUCACACAGGCAAACAUGCACCACGAUGAGCUGCAGUCAUCCCUUGCAUUGGCUAACAUUAAGAAAUAAGGAUGACAUUUUUCGUUAGGUCUUAGGCCUACAUAGAGCCAUUAGCAUUGCUGCGUCAAUUCAAAAUAGACUAAAACCUGUCUGGAACUGUGGGACUGAGGUAAUCCACCCAUUCAUGCUGGAGGUGAAUGCCAGCAACUUUGCUAUUCUGCCUCAAAUGUAGCUAAGGUAUAACUCUGUCAGUGUCCAUUAUUAGGACACUGCCAGAGUUAGAUACCUCAAAUGGACUGUGUAUGUGCAGCAUGAAAGCCAUAUAGGAGUCAGGACCUUGUCACACUUGCCAUGGAAGAAAUCUUAGCUGUACCAGCUCCUCUACUUUCUUCUCGUUGAAUCCCUGACACUGCUUGUGUCUGAUACAGAAUGUUGUUUGGCGUGAGCACAACCAUAUGAGAUGUGUCAUUGGGAGUCCCCUAUCAGUUCGGUUGCUAGUAAAAUGUCCAUGUCUAGCAGUGGUGACACUUUCCCAGAUCGCUGAGUCUAGUUCACUUUUGAACAAAGCAGUGAGAAUCAUGUAUGAUAUGCCAUUUGCAAUAAUGUGAAAUAACACCAUAGGUAAGGAUUUAUUUAUUGGUUAUAACUAGUAUUCCAGGGCUCAUGUUGGGCUGCUCUUGGGUAGCUCUUAGCGUCUACCUCUUGAAUAUAAAACAGACGUGCCAUUUU